UUAAAAGAGUAAGUGAAUUAAGGGCGUAUGGGGGAUGCCUAGGCUCUUGGAGGCGAUGAAGGACGUGUUAAGCUGCGAUAAGCUUCGGGGAGGUGCACAAGACCUUCGAUCCGAAGAUUUCCGAAUGGGGCAACCCAGUAGAUUGAAGAUCUAUUAUCCUAUUUAAGAUAGGAGGCGAACCUGCUGAACUGAAACAUCUAAGUAAGCAGAGGAAGAGAAAACAAAAGUGAUUCCGUAAGUAGUGGCGAGCGAACGCGGAUUAGCCCAAACCAGUGUUGUUGCGGCAAGACUGGGGUUGUAGGACCACGCCAUCGAUUAUGUAAAUCAACGAGAACUGUUUGGGAAAGCAGGCCAUAGAAGGUGAGAGCCCUGUAUUGGUAAGUUUAUGUAAUUGUAGUGGUAUCCUGAGUAGGGGGGGACUGGAGAAAUCCCCUUUGAAUCUGCCGGCACCAUCCGGUAAGGCUAAAUACUACCAAGAGACCGAUAGUGAACGAGUACUGUGAAGGAAAGGUGAAAAGUACCCUGAGUAAGGGGGUGAAAAGACCCUGAAACCAUACGCUUACAAGCGGUCGGAGCCCUUUCGUGGGGUGACGGCGUGCCUUUUGCAUAAUGAGCCUACGAGUUACUUUCACUGGCGAGGUUAAUCACGUUGACGUGAGCAGCCGGAGCGAAAGCGAGUCUGAAUAGGGCGCUUAGUCAGUGGGAGUAGACGCGAAACUUUGUGAUCUACCCAUGAGCAGGUUGAAGCUCCGAUAACACGGAGUGGAGGACCGAACCAGUUUACGUUGAAAAGUAUUUGGAUGACUUGUGGGUAGGGGUGAAAGGCCAAUCAAACUGAGAAAUAGCUCGUACUCCCCGAAAUGUUUUUAGGAACAGCCUCGGGGUUAAGUUUUAAGCAGGUAAAGCUACCGAUAGGACUAGGGGGAGUCAAAUCCUACCAAAUCCUGACGAACUCUGAAUGGCUUAAAAUAUACCCGGGAGUGAGGGUUGGGGUGCUAAGGUCCCAAUCCGAGAGGGAAAGAACCCAGACCAACAGCUAAGGUCCCAAAAUCUUUACUAAGUUGAACUAAGGAAGUCUGAUUGCAGUGACAGCCAGGAUGUUAGCUUGGAAGCAGCUAUUCAUUUAAAGAGUGCGUAACAGCUCACUGGUCGAGCGAGGCGGGCAUCGAUAAUAAACGGGCAUCAAGUAAAGUACCGAAGCUUUGGAUUAUAUUUAUAUACUGGUAGGGGAGCAUUCUGAUCUGCGGAGAAGGUGAAGCGACGAGCUUUGCUGGAGCGUUCAGAAAAGCAAAUGUAGGCAUGAGUAACGAUAAUGAGGGCGAGAAACCCUCACGCCGAAAGACUAAGGUUUCCUCAGCUAUGCUAAUCAACUGAGGGUUAGUCGGGGGCUAAGGGUCUAGCGAAGGCGACAACCUAAUGCACAACAGGUUAAUAUUCCUGUACUUACUUAUAGGGCAAAUAGAUGACGGAGAUUACAGGUUACCAGAUACUGACGGAAUAGUGUCUUUGAGAGGCGGCAGCAAUGCCAAAACGAGUGUAGUGAGUAAACUUCCAAGAAAAGUCUAGGCGUGUAUAACUUAUAAGUAACCCGUACCGUAAACCGACACAGGUGGUCGAGAAGAAUAUUCUAAGGCGCUCGAGUGAAUCACGGCUAAGGAACUCGGCAAAUUAACCCUGUAACUUCGGGAUAAAGGGAGCCACGAGCAAUCGUGGCCGCAGAGAAAUGGCCCAGGCGACUGUUUAACAAAAACACAUGGCUUUGCUAAAUCGAAAGAUGACGUAUAAGGCCUGACACCUGCCCGGUGCUGGAAGGUUAAGGGGGGAUGUUAGUGGCAACACGAAGCAUUGAACUGAAGCCCCAGUAAACGGCGGCCGUAACUAUAACGGUCCUAAGGUAGCGAAAUUCCUUGUCGGGUAAGUUCCGACCUGCACGAAUGGUGUAACGAUCUGGGCACUGUCUCAGCCGUGAGCUCGGUGAAAUUGUAGUAACGGUGAAGAUGCCGUUUACCCGCAACGGGACGGAAAGACCCCAUGAACCUUUACUAUAGCUUAGCAUUGAGUUUUGGUACUGGAUGUGUAGGAUAGGUGGGAGGCUGUGAGCCGGUGUCGCUAGGCAUCGGGGAGCCAACGUUGAAAUACCACCCUUCUUGUACUGGAAUUCUAAUCCCCAAAGGGGAGACAUUGCUUGGUGGGUAGUUUGACUGGGGUGGUCGCCUCCAAAAGAGUAACGGAGGCUUUCAAAGGUUCCCUCAGCACGCUUGGUAACCGUGCGUAGAGUGCAAUAGCAAAAGGGAGCUUGACUGUGAGACCGACAAGUCGAUCAGGUACGAAAGUAGGAUAUAGUGAUCCGGUGGUUUAGUAUGGAACAGCCAUCGCUCAAAAAAGGAUAAAAGGUACUCUGGGGAUAACAGGCUGAUCUCCCCCAAGAGCUCACAUCGACGGGGAGGUUUGGCACCUCGAUGUCGGCUCGUCACAUCCUGGGGCUGGAGAAGGUCCCAAGGGUUCGGCUGUUCGCCGAUUAAAGUGGCACGCGAGCUGGGUUCAGAACGUCGUGAGACAGUUCGGUCCCUAUCUGUUGUGGGCGUAGGAAUAUUGACAGGUUCUGACUUUAGUACGAGAGGACCGAGUUGGACUGACCGCUGGUAUAUCAGUUGUUCUGCCAAGGGCAUAGCUGAGUAGCCACGUCGGGACCAGAUAAGCGCUGAAAGCAUCUAAGUGCGAAACUGACCUGAAGAUGAGUAUUCCAUGAAGGGUCCGUGUAGACGACACGGUCGAUAGGCUACAGAUGUAAAGACAGUAAUGUCAAAGUCGAGUAGUACUAAUUACCCGAAAGCUUACCUUUU
RNAcentral lists this ribosomal RNA (2843 nucleotides) under Aquirufa antheringensis. RNAcentral describes it as "Cytophagaceae bacterium 30S-ANTBAC 23S ribosomal RNA". It matches the Rfam family "Bacterial large subunit ribosomal RNA". Lineage: Bacteria; Pseudomonadati; Bacteroidota; Cytophagia; Cytophagales; Flectobacillaceae. The record is from RNAcentral.